This 582-nucleotide ribosomal RNA is filed under the name uncultured prokaryote. RNAcentral's name for it is "bacterial SSU rRNA". It matches the Rfam family "Bacterial small subunit ribosomal RNA", at positions 26 to 757 of the family's 1533-position model. The record is from RNAcentral.
AGGAUGAACGCUGGCGGCAUGCCUAAUACAUGCAAGUCGUACGGGAAAGCUUGCUUUCCAGUGGCGAACGGGUGAGUAACACGUAGAUAACUUAUCCUUAAGCCGGGGAUAACAGUUGGAAACGACUGCUAAUACCGGAUAGGAUAUGCGACCGCAUGGAUGCAUAUUUAAAGGCGCGCAUGCGCCGCUUAGGGAGAGGUUUACGUCGCAUUAGCUAGUUGGUGGGGUAAAGGCCUACCAAGGCUAUGAUGCGUAGCUGUGCUGAGAGGCAGAACAGCCACACUGGGACUGAGACACGGCCCAGACUCCUACGGGAGGCAGCAGUAGGGAAUUUUCGGCAAUGGGGGAAACCCUGACCGAGCAAUGCCGCGUGAACGAAGAAGGUCUUCGGAUCGUAAAGCUCUGUUAUCGGGAAAGAAUGGCAUGGUGAGGAAAUGCGCCAUGUAUGACGGUACCCGAUGAGAAGCCCCGGCUACUAUGUGUCAGCACCGCGGUACACUAGGGGCGAGCGUAUCCGAAUACUGGCGUAAGCGUGUGUAGCGNCUAUAGUCUGCUGAAUCCACGCUUACUGUGAGGCGUGAA